Molecule: ribosomal RNA, 272 nt
Filed under: Salmonella enterica subsp. enterica serovar Muenchen
Lineage: Bacteria; Pseudomonadati; Pseudomonadota; Gammaproteobacteria; Enterobacterales; Enterobacteriaceae
Also listed under: 1 other name
Description: partial 16S ribosomal RNA
Rfam family: Bacterial small subunit ribosomal RNA
Source: RNAcentral
CCGCCUGGGGAGUACGGCCGCAAGGUUAAAACUCAAAUGAAUUGACGGGGGCCCGCACAAGCGGUGGAGCAUGUGGUUUAAUUCGAUGCAACGCGAAGAACCUUACCUGGUCUUGACAUCCACAGAAGAAUCCAGAGAUGGAUUUGUGCCUUCGGGAACUGUGAGACAGGUGCUGCAUGGCUGUCGUCAGCUCGUGUUGUGAAAUGUUGGGUUAAGUCCCGCAACGAGCGCAACCCUUAUCCUUUGUUGCCAGCGGUCCGGCCGGGAACUCA